GCAAGUCGAACGCUUCUUUCCUCCCGAGUGCUUGCACUCAAUUGGAAAGAGGAGUGGCGGACGGGUGAGUAACACGUGGGUAACCUACCCAUCAGAGGGGGAUAACACUUGGAAACAGGUGCUAAUACCGCAUAACAGUUUAUGCCGCAUGGCAUAAGAGUGAAAGGCGCUUUCGGGUGUCGCUGAUGGAUGGACCCGCGGUGCAUUAGCUAGUUGGUGAGGUAACGGCUCACCAAGGCCACGAUGCAUAGCCGACCUGAGAGGGUGAUCGGCCACACUGGGACUGAGACACGGCCCAGACUCCUACGGGAGGCAGCAGUAGGGAAUCUUCGGCAAUGGACGAAAGUCUGACCGAGCAACGCCGCGUGAGUGAAGAAGGUUUUCGGAUCGUAAAACUCUGUUGUUAGAGAAGAACAAGGACGUUAGUAACUGAACGUCCCCUGACGGUAUCUAACCAGAAAGCCACGGCUAACUACGUGCCAGCAGCCGCGGUAAUACGUAGGUGGCAAGCGUUGUCCGGAUUUAUUGGGCGUAAAGCGAGCGCAGGCGGUUUCUUAAGUCUGAUGUGAAAGCCCCCGGCUCAACCGGGGAGGGUCAUUGGAAACUGGGAGACUUGAGUGCAGAAGAGGAGAGUGGAAUUCCAUGUGUAGCGGUGAAAUGCGUAGAUAUAUGGAGGAACACCAGUGGCGAAGGCGGCUCUCUGGUCUGUAACUGACGCUGAGGCUCGAAAGCGUGGGGAGCAAACAGGAUUAGAUACCCUGGUAGUCCACGCCGUAACGAUGAGUGCUAAGUGUUGGAGGGUUUCCGCCCUUCAGUGCUGCAGCAAACGCAUUAAGCACUCCGCCUGGGGAGUACGACCGCAAGGUUGAAACUCAAGGAAUUGACGGGGGGCCCGCACAAGCGGUGGAGCAUGUGGUUU
This 919-nucleotide ribosomal RNA is filed under the name Enterococcus faecalis. RNAcentral describes it as "bacterial SSU rRNA". It matches the Rfam family "Bacterial small subunit ribosomal RNA", at positions 57 to 947 of the family's 1533-position model. The record is from RNAcentral. Lineage: Bacteria; Bacillati; Bacillota; Bacilli; Lactobacillales; Enterococcaceae.